UUCUUGAUGUUAUUUGGUUUGUGCAUUUUUUGAAGAUUCUUUUUAUACACUAAAUGAUAUUUAAUUUUCUACUUUACCCCUAAUUAUUCUAUUAUAUUUUUUCUCAGUUUUAUUAAUACAUUAAAAUAAUAGGGUUAAAAAAUUUUGUUUAAAGUCUUACAUUAAAAUUAUCAAAUAAUAUGCAGUUUCUCAAAAAAUUAACAAUGAUAUUUAUAAUGUGAAACAGAAGAAAUAUUAAUUGAACAAAUAGGCUGAUGACACAAAAGAAAUCAUUCUAAUAAAGGCAUGUUGGUCUAGUGAUCAGUACAAGGAGUUAGUUUCGUUGUAUCAUAAGUUUAAUCUAUGUCCUUAGACAAAAAAAAAAGAAAAAGAAAGAAAGUUAAAUCUAUGUUCGGAAGAUAAUUUAUACCAUGCCGUGCUCUUAUCAACCGUAUAUACACGCCCAUACCAUCCACGCCCGUUUUUUCAGCUCUUGAGUCUUAUUCCGUUCUAAUGGUUGGUACGUUAAUUUUUCCAAAACCUAAAAGUUAUGUUUACUGAUCCAGCAAUCACCACACAACUUUUUUCGUGUUUUGGCUUCACUCACACGGUAUCGCG
This 597-nucleotide long non-coding RNA is filed under the name Brassica rapa (field mustard). Its description in RNAcentral is "long non-coding RNA (BRAP_LNC000910)". The record is from RNAcentral. Lineage: Eukaryota; Viridiplantae; Streptophyta; Magnoliopsida; Brassicales; Brassicaceae.